AUACGGAGGGUGCAAGCGUUAAUCGGAAUUACUGGGCGUAAAGCGUACGUAGGCGGCAAGUUAAGUUAGAUGUGAAAGCCCCGGGCUCAACCUGGGAACUGCAUUUAAAACUGGCUUGCUAGAGUUGAGUAGAGGGGAGUGGAAUUUCUGGUGUAGCGGUGAAAUGCGUAGAGAUCUGAAGGAACACCAGUGGCGAAGGCGACUCCCUGGACUCGAACUGACGCUGAGGUACGAAAGCGUGGGUAGCAAACGGGAUUAGAAACCCUAGUAGUCC
RNAcentral lists this ribosomal RNA (274 nucleotides) under uncultured bacterium. RNAcentral describes it as "partial 16S ribosomal RNA". It matches the Rfam family "Bacterial small subunit ribosomal RNA", at positions 523 to 796 of the family's 1533-position model. The record is from RNAcentral.